This 4360-nucleotide long non-coding RNA is filed under the name Sus scrofa (pig). Its description in RNAcentral is "lncRNA (ENSSSCG00015064405.1)". Lineage: Eukaryota; Metazoa; Chordata; Mammalia; Artiodactyla; Suidae. The record is from RNAcentral.
AAACAUUAAUUAAAAGUGAGCAAGAGUGGCUAUAUUUAUAUUAGAUAAAGUAUUCAUCAGAGCAAAUAAAAUUACCCAUAAAAUUACCAAGGACAGAGAAAUCACAUAGUGAUAGAAAAGCCAAUCCACCAAAGGAGAGGACCAGUCUGUCAAGAAGACUUAUCAGUCCCAAGUGAGUAUGCUUCAAACAGCAGAGCUGUAGGAGUUCCCGUAGUGGCUCAGUGGUUAACGAAUCCGACUAGGAACCAUGAGGUUGCGGGUUUGGUCCCUGGCCUUGCUCAGUGGGUUAAGGAUCUGGCCUUGCCGUGAGCUGUGAUGUAGGUCACAGACGCGGCUCGGAUCCCAUGUUGCUGUGGCUCCGCCGGCCUACACCAGAGCCACAGCGUCUGCAACCUACACCAUAGCUCAGGGCAACACUGGAUCCUUAAUUCACUGAACAAGGUCAGGAAUUGAACCCUCAACCUCUAGUCCUGGGAAUUGGAAGUGAAAAUUCUCACACAUGCUCUCACAUACACACUCAUUCUCACACAUGUUCUUUGACUCAUUUUCACACACACAUAUUCACACACAGGUUUGGUUCUCCUGGCAGUCAGCCCCCAUCCUAGGGUGGGGUCCUAAAGUCACCUCAUUAACACAGUCUUUGUUAACUCUCAUUAUUUAGGAAUUCCAAGGGUUUUAGGAGCUGUGCUAGAAAAGGGGUUGAAGACCAAAUAUAUAUAUAUUUUCAUUAUAAAUUGUAAUGUCAUACACAGUAAUAGAUAAUUUAAAUAGAACAUUUUCUUUUGUAUGAAGACCAAGAACCCAAUAGAAAAAUGGCAAAGGGAAAAAUAGUUCGUAGAGAAAGAAAUACAAAUAAUCCUUAAACAUUAAGAGAUGGUCAACCUCACUCAUAAGAGAAAUACAAAUUAAUCUUCACUUAGGAGUUUCCGUUGUGGCUCAAUGGUAAUGAACCUGACACAGUGUCCCUUAGGACACAGGUUCCAUCCCUGACCUUGCACAGUGGGUUAAGGAUCCAGCGUUGCCAUAACUACCUGACCUACCUAACUGUAGGUCACAGAUGUAGUUUGGAUCCUGAGUUGCUGUGGCUGUGGUAUAGGCUGACAGCUGCAGCUCUGAUUUGACCCCUUGCCUGGGAGCUUCCAUAUUCCACAGGUGUGGCCCUAAAAAGAAAAACAAACAAAUUCCACUUAGACACCUUUUCUCAUAUAUCAGAUGGGCAAAAAUCCAAAAUUUAAAAGGUCAUAGUUGGUGUGGCUAUAAAGAAAUAGAUUUGGUGGUGGAGAAUGCAAAAUUGUACAACCCUGAUGGAGAGCAGUUGGCAUUGCUUAUAAAAAAUUCAAGAGCAUUUAUUCUCUGACCCAGCCAUCCCACCUCUGGGAAUCUAUUCUACAAGAGAGAAAUGCUUAGGUAUGGCAUGACCUGUGAACUAUGGCAUUGUUUGUUUUUUAUUUUAUUUUAUUUUUUUAGGUUUUAAUAUUUUUCUGUGAUAAUCGAUUUUCUUUGUUCUGUCAGUUUCACUAUGGCAUUGUUUGUGAUGGCAAAAGACUGGAAAGGAACUGUCAAGAGGUCUGUCAAGAAGGAACUGCAUAAAUAAAUAUGAACCACUCUGUAGGAAAGAAUGAGGAUGUGCUGUAGGUUAUAGUAAAUAAAGCAAGGAAGGUGCAGAAUAAUGUGUAAAUUAUGUUAUCUUACUGUAAGGAAAAGAUGGAAAGCAUUACGUUUGCAUAAAGAAAUGCAGAAAAAAUCAAUAGAAAAAAAAUGAAAUUGUUACCUGUAAGGAGAAAGUGCGAAUUAGAAUUCUCUGUGUAUAUUUUUUAUACCUAUUUUAUACCACUUGAUGUCCUUUGGACUUUUUUUUUUUUUGGUCUUUUUAGGGCCACCCCCGUGGCAGAUGGAAUUACCUAGGCUAAGGGUCAAAUGGGAGCUGCAGUUGCCAGCCUUUGUCAUAGCCACAGCAACUUGGGAUCCGAGCUGCAUCUUCAACCUACACCACAGCCCACGGCAAUGCCAGAUCCUUAUCCCACUGAGCCAGGCUAGGGAUUGAACCCUUGUCCUCAUGGUUACUAGUCAGGUUCAUUAUCAUUGAGCCACAACGGGAACUCCUCCUUUUGAUUUUUGAGCCAAGUAAAAUACAACAUAUUAAAAAGCAAUUCAGGUGGGAAUGGGGGAUGACUAUUGAUGUUGGUAGGGUUUCUUUUAAGGAUCUGAAAAUGUUCUGAAGUUAGAUGGUGGUUGAUGGUUGUACAACUCUAUGAAUAUGCUAAAAACCACUGAACUCCACACAUUAAAUGGGUGAAUUUUAUGGCAUGUGAAAUAUGUUUAGAUAAAGUUGGAAAAAAAGGGACACACAUGCCCACAAGAUUUCAGGAGUGAAGAGAAGAUAGACUCAAGAUUAAAAUGACGAUAGAAAAAGAACAUGGAUGACUUAUUGCCCGUAAUCCAGAACUUUCAAAAAACAUCUAGAGAACACAGUUAUACAACACUGGCUCAAGAAGAAAGAAAAAAACCUGAAUGAAUAGUCUAAUAAUAUUUAAAGAAACUCAACCAUCUGUAAACAAUCCUUCAUAAACGAAACACCAGACUGAGGUAAAUUUAAGAAAACUUUGAAGGAGAAGAUCACUUCAGUCACAUAAAAAUCUUCUGAAAAAAAUACCUGUCAAUUCAUUUUUUUAAUGCUAAAAUAACCUACAUACUAAAACUGGACAAAAUUAGGAGAAAAGAAAAUGAUAGGCCAAUCUACUCCUGAACAUGGGUACAAAAACAUUCUAGGUAAGAUAUCAGCAAACAGAAUCAGAGCAAUACAUAUAAAAAUACAAGCAUAUCAAGGUUGUACUAUUCUAGAAACUCAAUGCAGACUUAACAUGAGAAAGUUUACUAGUGGAUUCAACACAUUAAUAGUCUGAGGGAGAAAAUAACGAAUGACAUUCUCAAUAGGUGCAGACCAAGAAUUUGAUAAAAUUCAAAAGCUACUCACGAUGAAAAAAGCUUGGCAAGUGAGAAAGAGAAGAGGCUAUAUACUAACAAUCUGUAUGGCAAGCAUUACUCUUCAGGGUGAAAUGCUGGUGGUAGUUCUUAGCCAAUCAGGAAUAAGAUUGGAUACAAGUGUUUCCAUCCAGUAUUGUCCCGGAGGUCCCAGACAGCACAGACAAAGAAGAAAUAGAAAUUCAGCCUAUCAGGAUAAGAAAAAAGGAAACGAAAUAGUAAUUAUUGUCUGAUGAUAUGCUUGUAUAAAUAACCCCUCCCCUCCAUUUACAGACAGAAAUCUAGAAUUAACAAGGUAGUUUAGCAACCUGCUAGAUAUAUAAUCAAUAAACAAAAAUCAAUUGCCUUUGCGUGCUCCAAAAAAAACCAAUGAAAGUAAAUUUAACAAAGCAACAAAAAAGUAUGCGGUGCCUAACAAUAAAGCCACCAACUAUAUUGCAAGGGACUUGCAAAUGUCACAGUCAACAGGCUUGGGUCUAACCCAGGCAUGGCAACAGAGGUGGAGCCUGGGGCUGGAGCCUCAGACCAACCACACAGCCUCCUGCUGGGGGGAUUUUGCUGUAUUAGCCUCCAAGAUGGGGUCAGAAUAUCUUGAGUUAUAGAGAAUACUAAGUAGAGGUUGUAGGAAGCUGCUCAGCAGCAACUAUCCUAAAAGCCGGACCACUUCAGCCUGCCUUCCCCUAGUUGCAGCUGGUGGCAUUGACCCGGCAGGUCUGAUCACACUUGGACCAUUCACCCUCGCCAGACAUGACUGCCAAGUCCAAGAGUGAAAAUGAGCUUUGGCAGCCAGCCUAGUAUGUUCUGGCCUCAUGCUUUCACAUAUAUUUUUAAGAUGCAUUUAAGUUUGUGGAUAAGUAAUACAUUUAUAUUAUCAACCAAGCCAAAUCAAACCCAAAACCUUGGUGGCAGGUCGCAGAUGGGGCCCCAAGCUUGGAUUAGGAGGCAACUUGUUUGGACUAAGCAUCACUGGCUGUCUCAGAGCUCCUGUCCCAGCAUCCUUUUCCUUUGAAGUAAUUGCCUUGUUCCCUCACUCUUCCCUUUAUCAUUUGACCCUGUCUCCUAUAAAAACUACAUUCUCGUGGUAACCUCCUAGGGGAAGCAAGAAGAACAAAGAUAGCAUUUUCUGGAGUUCCUGCUGUGGCUCAGUGGGUUAAGAACCUGAUGUUGUCUCUGUGUGGAUGCCGGUUCAAUCUCUGGCCUCACUUAAUGGGUUAAGGGUCUGGUGUUGCAGCAAGCAGAUGGGGCUUGGAUCUGGCAUUGCUGUGGCUGUGGUGUAGGCUGGCAGCUGCAGAUUUGAUUUGAUGCCUUGCCUGAGAACUUCCAUAUGCCGCAGGUGCAGCUGUAUUAAAAAAAAAGAGAAAAGAAAAAAAAAAAAAAG